GAAGCUGUGUGGGGUGUGAUCCUUACUAGGUUGUAACUUCUGGGGGUCUUAUGCCAAGUAAGCACAAAGUCAGUAGAAGGAGUGAAAAAAGAAUCCUCUGACAUGAUGGCAGACUGGCAGACAACAAAUGAAGUUGUCUCCACAGGCGCCCUGGAGGAACAACAACAUCAGUUUUAUGAGCAGGGAAGCUGCUGUCACAGAACAAGGAGAGACCAUUAUAGGCUUCUACCUACUGGCUUUAGGUACGUACUCUGUCUUGGCUUUGCUAGUGAAAUUACACUCUUGGUAGAGCUUGG
Molecule: long non-coding RNA, 296 nt
Filed under: Phasianus colchicus (ring-necked pheasant)
Lineage: Eukaryota; Metazoa; Chordata; Aves; Galliformes; Phasianidae
Description: lncRNA (ENSPCLG00000001131.1)
Source: RNAcentral